CAGGCCUAACACAUGCAAGUCGAGCGGGCCCUUCGGGGUCAGCGGCGGACGGGUGAGUAACGCGUGGGAACGUGCCCUCUGGUUCGGAAUAACUCAGGGAAACUUGAGCUAAUACCGGAUACGCCCUUUUGGGGAAAGGCUUGCUGCCGGAGGAUCGGCCCGCGUCUGAUUAGCUAGUUGGCGGGGUAACGGCCUACCAAGGCGACGAUCAGUAGCUGGUCUGAGAGGAUGAUCAGCCACACUGGGACUGAGACACGGCCCAGACUCCUACGGGAGGCAGCAGUGGGGAAUAUUGGACAAUGGGCGCAAGCCUGAUCCAGCCAUGCCGCGUGAGUGAUGAAGGCCUUAGGGUUGUAAAGCUCUUUUAUCCGGGACGAUAAUGACGGUACCGGAGGAAUAAGCCCCGGCUAACUUCGUGCCAGCAGCCGCGGUAAU
This 435-nucleotide ribosomal RNA is filed under the name uncultured bacterium. RNAcentral describes it as "bacterial SSU rRNA". It matches the Rfam family "Bacterial small subunit ribosomal RNA", at positions 43 to 524 of the family's 1533-position model. The record is from RNAcentral.